Molecule: non-coding RNA, 118 nt
Organism: Drosophila persimilis
Lineage: Eukaryota; Metazoa; Arthropoda; Insecta; Diptera; Drosophilidae
Source: Rfam
ACGGAAUUUUACGUAUUCAUCCGUUUUGUCUGUAUCGCGAAGUUUGGGAGUCGUUUUUGUUGAAGCGAUUCCACGCAUUUUCGAGUGCUGAUAUUUUGGCUUGAAAAUAAGAAGCCGU